Molecule: ribosomal RNA, 253 nt
Filed under: uncultured bacterium
Lineage: Bacteria
Description: partial 16S ribosomal RNA
Rfam family: Bacterial small subunit ribosomal RNA
Source: RNAcentral
UACGUAGGGUGCAAGCGUUGUCCGGAAUUAUUGGGCGUAAAGGGCUCGUAGGCGGUCUGUCACGUCGGGAGUGAAAACUCAGGGCUUAACCCUGAGCCUGCUUCCGAUACGGGCAGACUAGAGGUAUGCAGGGGAGAACGGAAUUCCCGGUGUAGUGGUGGAAUGCGUAGAUAUCGGGAGGAACACCAGUGGCGAAGGCGGUUGCCUGGAGCUUUGCUGACGCUGAGGCGCGAAAGCGUGGGGAGCGAUCCGG